GAAGUGCAUGUGACCAAAACAAUUCAGUCAAACCAUACAGCCUGUGUGUGGACUUCCUCUUCUGUCUUUAUCUUAAGCCAAUAUAUGUCUUUAGAAGACUUUUUACAGUAGCUCUCUUUAGAAGACUUCACUAUGUUUGAGAGGUCUGAAAGGGUCACUAAUCAAUGGAGAUUAAAAAAAAAAGACAGGAAGUGAUAAUAUAAUUGCAGAGGUGAGGAGAAGGCAGAUUGUUUAUCUGCAGUACUUGGAAACUGUUAACUUACCAAAGUGUGAUACGUGGUGUACUUUUAUUUCAUGGGUAAUCAUUUUUCAUGGGUGGUGAUUAAAACCUUUUUUAUUCAGAGGAAACAGAGUGAGCCCAUCCUUGCAGAGGGAGGUUUCUCAUGCCUUCAGCGUCCACCCCCCACUCAUCAUUCCCUACAAACAGCAAGUGCAAGGUGUGGGAGCCCAGUGCUUUAACAGCAAUCAUUCCAGGGCACGCUCCAUGAUAAAGCGUGUUUUUGGAAUGAUGAAGACGAGAUUCAGGGCCAUCAUCCUGCUGGAGUGCUGGUGACUUUGUGGCCCUAGAGGAUGAUGCAGCAGGGGAUGAGGGGGAGGCUGGUUUGGAGGCAGUCACUGGUGCUCUUUGGCAGGACCAGCUGUCUCCUGGGGUGUCUGCCUUGGAGGAUGUACCACCAGAUCAUGACUACUGUUAACAGACCUCUCGGAAUGUCUGCUCGUCUCUCCUGCUGCCUGCAUGCCUGUGGAUGUGUCACGGACUGUGUAAAAGAGGAGCGUGUGUGUGCCUGCCCUGGACCUUCCCUCACCUUCGGACCCCCCCACCCCCUGGAGCCCCAUGUUACCUGUUCCACUGUAUAUAUGUAUCUAUCCUCACCUGGUGCCACAUUGUAAAUAAAUCCUUCACCAUCUCUCUAAAGUCUCUAAAUUAGAGUCCUGCGAACAAAAUUCUCCAGUAUGGAUCGCAAUGAAUUCUGGGAUAGGGUGGGCCACGAAAGAUACACCCAACCCAUCCUUCAAAUCCAGGGAAAUGGAGGAUGCAUUUGUGGGCCGCAUUUGGAGCAGCCUUCAAAUUUGGACAGCCUUCAUCACCUGGCUGUGACUUAAUCAGCCUACAAAUGCGGCUUCCAAAGGAUGCAGCCCCUGAAUUUGGACACAGCCACUGUGGAACCAUCCUUUUGUCUACUCAGCAGCAUACAAAGAUCCUGCGAGAUGAACCAAAGUUUUCGAAUUUUCAUUCAUCAGUCCAUAAUACCUUCUUCCAGUCUUCAGUAGUCCAGUGUAUUUCAUGGCCCAGGCAAGCCUCUUUGUCUUAUUCUGAUGUCUUAGCAAUGGCUUUCUUGCUGCAACUCGUCCUGUCAAACCUGAAGUUUGAAGUCUUCUCUUCUGAUGUGAAUCUUAGGACACAUUGAUCACUGACACUUCAAACAAACAUUAGGGCCCUGGAUUUCUCCUCAGGCCACAGCCUUCACUUCUAGGUGGUGGCUGUCGCUCAGAAGGUGGAGCAGGUCAUUUGACAAUCAGGUGGUUGUUUUUGGUUCCCUGGCUACUCCAGUCUGCAUGGCAAAGUAUCCUUGGGCACGAUACUAAACCACAGGUUACUCCCUAUCUGUUCAUGAGAGCAUGAAUGUGUGCAAUUGUUAGAUAGAAAACUUGUUUUGCUUCUUUUCUUAUUUAUUAUGUUUUAUUAUUAUUUAGGGGUUUGUUUGUUUUUUAUAGAACAUUGUAGUGGCUGAAGGAGCAGGGCCAUGAGCCCAAAGUCUCAUGGGAUGUUCAUGCUGACAUUGAUGAGUUGAGUCACAGUGUUAUAAGAGCUAUUUCAGUUAUCCUGUGUGCAUCUCUCAUUCUUAUUGUUAAUUUAUCAUGUGAAUUGCAGCUGUUUGUUUAGUAGUGAGUAAUGACCAUCAUGACUGGGACUGCUGUGCCGUUUAAUGAUCUAUGGUCACUGUUGCUGAUUAGGGGUGUUAUGCUAAUAGAGCUGCAUUCCUGUAGUUGAGCAGUUAAUGAAACAGAGGGACUGCAAAUAAAGAUUGAGAUCUCUCUACUUACCACAAUAAUUUCAUUAUUUUUAUGGUAUGGC
This is a long non-coding RNA of Oreochromis aureus, 2077 nucleotides long. NCBI's taxonomy places the organism in Eukaryota, Metazoa, Chordata, Actinopteri, Cichliformes, Cichlidae. The record is from Ensembl.